RNA transcript from Paralichthys olivaceus (Japanese flounder), 2288 nucleotides. It is a transcript of the gene named serine and arginine rich splicing factor 7a, with no coding region annotated. The record is from RefSeq and is a predicted model, not a curated record. NCBI's taxonomy places the organism in Eukaryota, Metazoa, Chordata, Actinopteri, Pleuronectiformes, Paralichthyidae.
GUGUGUCUGUGCGCAGAAGCGGAAGUCACGCGGGUCGGAGCUGGUGGCUAACCUGAAGCUAACGCGAAGCUAACCCGGUGAGCGGCGGCACAGACGAGGAGAAGUCCGUCAGAGCGGCGGUUCAGCACGUGAGGUCUGCACACACCGCCGGCCACAGAUUCACUCCGACCUCCGGCUGUGUUCCACGGAGGAGAAGUUCCACUGGAGCCUGAAGCGGAGUCACGAAGCGGAGACUGAAAAGGUAAGGAACGAUGUCGCACCACUCCCGUAGUUCGUCUCGGGCCACGGACUGUAAAGUGUACGUGGGUGACCUGGGCAAUGGUGCGGCGAAGGGUGAGCUGGAGCGAGCGUUCAGUUAUUACGGUCCACUGAGAAGUGUCUGGGUGGCGAGGAACCCUCCCGGGUUUGCCUUCGUGGAGUUUGAGGAUCCCAGAGAUGCAGAAGAUGCUGUCAAAGGCAUGGAUGGAAAGCUCCUAUGUGGUUCACGGGUUCGUGUGGAGUUGUCGACAGGCCUCUCCAGGAAGGGCCGCGGGCGCCCCAGUCGACGCCAGUUUGACCCCAAUGACCGGUGUUACCAGUGUGGGGACCGAGGUCAUUACGCCUACGACUGUUACCGCUUCAGCAAGAGGGGCCGUCGCAGCAGAUCUCGCUCCCAUUCUCGGUCUCGCUCCAGGUCCAGGUCCCGUGGACGUCGCUAUCGCUCUAACUCCCGCAGCCGUAGCCACAGCCGGAGCCGCCGCAGAUCUCCAUCUUACUCUAGACGCAGGAGCAGGUCUGGCUCUCCAGCCCGCUCCAAGUCCAGGACUCCCGUGAGAAGUCGCUCGAGAUCCCGCUCUCGGUCUGGCUCUGCGCCAAGAAGACGCUCUGUCUCUCGAUCCCGCUCACGGUCUCCACCAGCUAACCACAAGAAGAACAGCGUGUGGUGGGACCUGAGCACUGCACUGACACCGCAGCUGAUCCCAGGCCCAGGGUCUGCCAGCUGGCGGUGUGUACGUCCUGCGGGAGGGUGACUAUGCGCUGACCUGAGAUCAGCCUUCUUCUGCAUCUGGUGUUAGACAGCGAGAAAGAGGUCGACCUACAGACCGAACCCUCCUCACAGUGAAUGGGUGACCGUCUGUUCAACCGACGCACACGCUCAGACGAGAUCAGCCCGCGCACACAUACAGUUGUUCUGCUUGAGUCACCCAGCCAGCCAGCCAGCCUUCAGACGUACCAGAGGGCUGACCCACACAGAUCAGACCUCGACCACUACCUUUUUUAAUCCAUUACCUACCUACCAGACCCCCUACCUACCUACCAGAGUUCUUCGGCCUCUGUCUUAGCUUCUGAAAGUGAGUGAGAGAGAGAGAGAGCUGACGAGAGAUCAGUCUUCAAGAGCCUCCCAGCGCAGUGUCUCUACGAGUUGUAGUCAUCCGUCCUUCAGUCCUUCGCUUCUGUGUUCUUGUUGUUUCUGCCACUGUCUCCAAAGUCGUUCCCGUUCAGCAAGUCCAAACCGAAGCCCUAGGCCAGCAGAUGACUGAGCGAUGAAGACUAUUAGACACACACACUCACACACACUCACAAUCUGCAUUUACAGUCCUGCAGCAGCUGUUUUUUUUUUUUUGUAUUUUUAUGUCUGGUUUCUGUCAUUGAAGUUGGAAUUUUCUCUCCAGGGCUGCAGCUUCUGUGCAGGCUCAGAUUGUUAAAGCUGUAGUCAGAGCAGCAGGCAGAAAUCUGAUUGUUUUAAAUGUUCUGCUGCUGCUUUAGGUCGUCUCUCUUGUCAGAGGAUUUAUGACGUAAAGGUAACACAGAAAGUUGCAGCUGAUUUUUAGCAGUGGUUCGACAGUUCACAGUAAACUGCAGUUGAAGAAAAGCCCAGGUCUUGAGGGUGGGGACACAGUACUGAAAAACUGCUUUUAUUCCUGAACCUUAAAAUAAUUUUCCCCCUUUGAAAUGCAAAGACAGUUUUUGUAUUUCACAUGAAUUUUGAGUUUAAAUGCUGUGUAGUGUUUCCUCAUAUAAUGGCAUAAACAGAAAUUCCUGGCCUGCAUGCCUUUAAAUAUGUGACGUCACAUUCCUACUGCUUGUUGUGUCUGUGAUGCACUGCCCUUUUUAUGAACCGAUCAGCUUCCCAAUGUGCUGAAAAGAUUUUUUUCACCCCCUCGUGUUGAUAUUAUUUGUUCCUGUGACUUUUUGAUUUUAAAGUACGUAUGAACAGCGCUGAAGUUUGAUUUGACUGUUUGGUUCUGUUUCUGGCUUCUACAGUAAGACAGUGGCAGUUUUAUUUUUGAAUAAACAUCUGCAACAUA